GACGAACGCUGGCGGCGUGCUUAACACAUGCAAGUCGAACGCUGAAGACCUGGCUUUUGUUGGGUUGGAUGAGUGGCGAACGGGUGAGUAACACGUGAGUAACCUGCCCCCUUCUUUGGGAUAACGCCCGGAAACGGGUGCUAAUACUGGAUAUUCACUGGCCUUCGCAUGGGGGUUGGUGGAAAGGUUUGUUCUGGUGGGGGAUGGGCUCGCGGCCUAUCAGCUUGUUGGUGGGGUGAUGGCCUACCAAGGCUUUGACGGGUAGCCGGCCUGAGAGGGUGACCGGUCACAUUGGGACUGAGAUACGGCCCAGACUCCUACGGGAGGCAGCAGUGGGGAAUAUUGCACAAUGGGCGGAAGCCUGAUGCAGCGACGCCGCGUGAGGGAUGGAGGCCUUCGGGUUGUAAACCUCUUUCGCUCAUGGUCAAGCCGCAACUGUGGGUUGUGGUGAGGGUAGUGGGUAAAGAAGCGCCGGCUAACUACGUGCCAGCAGCCGCGGUAAUACGUAGGGCGCGAGCGUUGUCCGGAAUUAUUGGGCGUAAAGGGCUUGUAGGCGGUUGGUCGCGUCUGCCGUGAAAUCCUCUGGCUUAACUGGGGGCGUGCGGUGGGUACGGGCUGACUUGAGUGCGGUAGGGGAGACUGGAACUCCUGGUGUAGCGGUGGAAUGCGCAGAUAUCAGGAAGAACACCGGUGGCGAAGGCGGGUCUCUGGGCCGUUACUGACGCUGAGGAGCGAAAGCGUGGGGAGCGAACAGG
RNAcentral lists this ribosomal RNA (755 nucleotides) under uncultured Actinomyces sp. Its description in RNAcentral is "bacterial SSU rRNA". It matches the Rfam family "Bacterial small subunit ribosomal RNA", at positions 28 to 776 of the family's 1533-position model. The record is from RNAcentral. Lineage: Bacteria; Bacillati; Actinomycetota; Actinomycetes; Actinomycetales; Actinomycetaceae.